Molecule: ribosomal RNA, 511 nt
Filed under: Menaforia sp. BFS-2018
Lineage: Eukaryota; Metazoa; Arthropoda; Insecta; Hymenoptera; Ichneumonidae
Description: partial 16S large subunit ribosomal RNA
Rfam family: Archaeal large subunit ribosomal RNA (bases 380-511)
Source: RNAcentral
AACAUGUCUUAUAGAAUAUAAUUUUAAGUCUAAUCUGCUCCAUGAAAUUUUAAAUAGCUGCAGGAUUUUUACUGUACAAAGGUAGCAAAAUCAAUAGUUUUUUAAUUGAAAGCUGGUAUGAAGGAUUUAAUAAGGUAAAUAUUGUUUCGGAUUUAAUAAAUUUAUAAUUUUAUUUUUAGUUAAAAAUCUAAAUUGUUUUGGAAAGACGAGAAGACCCUAUAGAUUUUUAUAUUUAUUAAAUUAAUUAAAUUUAAAUUAAUAAAUAAUUUUUGAUUAAUAAAUAUUUGAUUGGGGAAAUUAUUAAAUUAGUAAAAUUUUAAUUAUUUAAAAACAAUAAUUAUUGAAUUUUUGAUAUUUUAAUAGAAUUAAAUACCUUAGGGAUAACAGCGUAAUUUUUUUUGAUAGGCCUAAUUGAUAAAAAAGUUUGCGACCUCGAUGUUGAAUUAAGAUAAAAUUUUAAUGUAGAAGUUAAAAAUUUUUGGUCUGUUCGACCAUUAAAAUCUUACGUGAU